Long non-coding RNA from Mugil cephalus (flathead mullet), 2007 nucleotides. RefSeq lists it as uncharacterized. The transcript is spliced from 3 exons. The record is from RefSeq and is a predicted model, not a curated record. NCBI's taxonomy places the organism in Eukaryota, Metazoa, Chordata, Actinopteri, Mugiliformes, Mugilidae.
AGCGUUUUGGAUUACGAGAACGAGAGUGGACUUCUAUCUCAAUCUGAAAUUAACACAACAGACAGGCCCGAGACACCUCCGACUAACGGUAAGAAGAAGAAAAGAAAAAAAAAGUAUAAAUUUUAAAUAAAUAAGUAAAAUAAAUCUAAACCCGUCUCUCUCCAUUUUGUAGAGUGCAGACCAGAACCCGCUCACAAGGUGAACAAAGCUACUUGUACCAGCGAAGACGGUGUCUACCCACUACUUGUCAUACCCGACAUGCCAGAAAAGCAAGGCAGACAACCGGCUAACACUAAAGAAGCUGACACUGACGGAGGACCAUCUGGAUCCAAAAUUAACAUACCAGAAGCGCCAGAGAAAGCAGUGACUGAUGACUCCAGGCCAUACCCCAAACUGAAGCAUUCCAGUAGAAGAAGUGGCAGGAGGAAUACGAGGAGAUCAGCUUCAGGACGUCGGGGCCUAUCGAGAGGGAAGGUUGUGAAGACUUUUUGGAAAAUACUGACUUCUGUUUGUGAAUUGACCUCAGCUUUGACUAGGUAGAGUCGUGUGUGUUGUAAUGAUGAAUGAUCAAGGGGAAAAUUCGAUCUUGCAGUCAGCUCUGCUAUCUUUACAGUCUACGGUUGAAGUGUUAAGAGAUAUCCCUUACCCGCAAACUUUACCUCCACUGGUUGAAAUACAACAACAAUUAGAGCUUUCAAACGAGCCUCAGGCUCGCCACGAACCUUCUGAUUUACAGAAUUUGGAAAGUAUCGAUGUAGCCCUUCAGCGUUUAAGAGAAGCUCCGUCCAGUCCUCCAUCCCCCGAGCUUUUACCUCCACCGAUUGAAUUACAGCCUUUAGAGGUUUCAAACGAGUCUCAGGCUCACCACGAACCUUCUGAUUUUCAAAAUUUGGAAAGUAUUGAUGUAGCCCUUCAACGUUUAAGAGAAGCUUUGUCCAGUCCUCCACUCCCGGAGCUCUUACCUCCUCCCUCUCAACCCUGCGUCGUUUGUCCGUCUAAUGUGCCAUUACCUCGGCCGACUCAGGUUCCCUCUGUUCGUCCAACCGAAGAUUCCGUGCCUGGCCCGUCUAACCUUUUACCCGUAAACGAUCCGUUACCCGGUCCGUCCUCGUACUUCCCACCUGCAACACCAGUCGCUCAGAACGAUGUGGGUCAAAAUCCUGAAUCCCCCCAGGAGGGUCUCCAGAGACAGGUUUAAUAACAUUGAAAUAAGACAGAUGCUAAAUUUCAACUUUCCCAAUCCUGUGAGUAAUUACGCAGAGUUUUAUCUUAAUGUGAUGGAGACUCUCCAAGCAGCGGUUGAACGGGCUGUAUCCUAUGCCAGACAGGGGGAUGUGCUGCAACUAGAAUUAAGGGGGGAAAGAUCAAACAGCGCCUCUGUCAUAGUCACACACAAUGGUGGUCUACCUCUAAACCAUGUUCAAGAGGCUCUCGACCGCCUAGUGCAAUUAAACAUGACCAUUAUGCCGGAAGAUGAGAUGGAGUUACUUGUGCAGGUGGUACGUAGUCCUAGAGGGGGUGUUAAAAGAAAACUGCAAACCAUCUUUGACGAUGAAAUCUGCAGGAAAAAAGCCCAUUGCCUGAACAUUGUCAUCAAUCCUGGCAACCAGCUCUGCUUUGCCAUUAACCUCGCUCAGCUUUUAAACCGUGAAUUAACCACGCGUCAGGCCACUGAGCACGCUAAAGUGCUACAGAAUCAUGCGGGGUUAGCGGACGACACGCCUGUGACUUUUAAUGAUAUUAUCAAAUUUGAACAGGCUUUAGAUUGCAAAAUCGUCGUCUUCUUCAGAGCAGACGGUGAGCCGGCCCUGUCUAAAUUCCAAACAUCUGAAGGAAUGCAUCCUAAAACCCUCCAUCUCUUCCUCCAUCAGAACCAUUACUAUGGUAUCACCAACCUGAAAACAUUUCUAGGUGCACGGUACAUCUGCGGUUACUUCCACACAGGUUUUACUAACUUAUGGCAGCAUCAGUGCCCGAGCCGUUGUUCUGUAUGCUUCACAUCAGACU